GAUGAACGCUGGCGGCGUGCUUAACACAUGCAAGUCGAACGGAAAGGCCCAAGCUUGCUUGGGUACUCGAGUGGCGAACGGGUGAGUAACACGUGGGUGAUCUGCCCUGCACUUCGGGAUAAGCCUGGGAAACUGGGUCUAAUACCGGAUAGGACGAUGGUUUGGAUGCCAUUGUGGAAAGUUUUUUCGGUGUGGGAUGAGCUCGCGGCCUAUCAGCUUGUUGGUGGGGUAAUGGCCUACCAAGGCGUCGACGGGUAGCCGGCCUGAGAGGGUGUACGGCCACAUUGGGACUGAGAUACGGCCCAGACUCCUACGGGAGGCAGCAGUGGGGAAUAUUGCACAAUGGGCGCAAGCCUGAUGCAGCGACGCCGCGUGGGGGAUGACGGCCUUCGGGUUGUAAACCCCUUUCGCUAGGGACGAAGCGUUUUUGUGACGGUACCUGGAGAAGAAGCACCGGCUAACUACGUG
RNAcentral lists this ribosomal RNA (468 nucleotides) under uncultured bacterium. Its description in RNAcentral is "partial 16S ribosomal RNA". It matches the Rfam family "Bacterial small subunit ribosomal RNA", at positions 28 to 507 of the family's 1533-position model. The record is from RNAcentral.